CUUCAUGACAUUUUGCGCAGCUUUAAGUGAUUCUUUUGCCAAUUUACAGGCAUCAUGUAAACGUUCUCUGAAACGGCUUACAUAACUAAGAACAUUCAUUUUUGGACUUUCCUUAAUUUCCAAAAUGUUCUCUUUCAGAAGUUUAAGAGGAGUUCGCAAAUCGUGACCGAAUACAAGCUGAGCGGGGCUAAACCCGAGAGACUCUUGGAUAGUUUCUCUCACCGCUAAUAGUACCAAUGGAACGCCCUCAUCCCAGUCUUUGCAGGUAUCCGCACAGUAUUUCUUUAACAUAGACUUGAGCGUCUGGUGAAAUCGCUCGAGAGCACCUUGACUUUGUGGGUGAUAAGCACUUGAUACUCGGUGGGUGAUAGACAAUGAUUUUAGAACUUGAGCAAACAUUUUUGACAUAAAAUUUGAUCCUUGGUCAGUUUGUAUGAUUUUUGGUAAGCCGAAUGUGGAGAAAAAUUUAAUCAAUGAUUUGAUUAUAAGAGGAGCUGUAAUUCUGCGGAGCGGUAUUGCCUCGGGAAAUCGAGUAGCAGUACACAUUAUUGUAAGUAAAAACUGAUUACCUGUUUUGGUUUUAGGUAAUGGACCCACACAAUCAAUAAUUACAUGUUCAAAUGGCUCUCCUAUGACUGGGAUAGGAAAAAGAGGAGCAGGUGGAAUUACCUGGUUUGGCUUCCCCAUGCAUUGGCACGUAUGGCAGGUCGGGAAGUAGCAGUCGGAAUACGUGGAAAAUUCACAGACUGAACAGUGGGAUUUUUAUCCGAUCGGACUGGAUAGAACACAUUUUUGUGCGUAAGCACAAACUCAUCUGCCAACACAGCUGCCUGUGACAACGACAUAACUUUUUGUUCGUUAAGGUACGAGUUCAUAAGCACGGAGGAUUGCUGAUUUAGCAGUAUCAUAAUUAAGGCUGUCCUCUAAGGACAGUGUAGCAAAAACCUCCUGUGCCUUUCCAACCAAUUUGCACUGGAGAAGAAGGGACCAUGAAUCUUUAGGCCAGCGAAAAGAAGCCGCUAUGCGCUCGAAAGCGCUAAAAUAUGUAUCGACUUCGGAUUCCCUAAAUAUUGGUACGAGAGAUACAUAUUUGCUUAUAUCGAAGGUGGUUGAGGUUGGAUCGCCCACCGGAGCAACAGAGGUCUCAGCACGGGUGGACUGCGCAGCCACUUUAGGAGGAGUUUUUAAAGCCUCCAACUCCAGCUGACGCAGCUUCACCUCUUUUUCGGCCGUAACUUCAAGCCUGCGGAUUUCGAGUCUCAGUUCCAUCUCAGCCUGACGCGCUUGUGCCCUUUCCUGUGCCUCAAACUGUAAACGGGCCAGGCGGACUUUUAAACGUCCAUCCUCUUUAGACCCAGAAUAAACGGGGGAAAACGGAUCGAAAGGUGACAGUGUUGGCUUGCCUUCAGUGAGCGCAGCCGCAGCACCGCUUUCAUUUCGCCCUUCAUCCGGCUCAUCUGCACUUGAGCUUUGCGCGCCAGCACCAAGAAACUCGGUUUCUUCCUCUUCCACAACAGGCAUUAUGAGAACCUUUAAUUCAACCAACCUUUCGUAUAAGGCACUCUUAAUAUUUUUCUUAAGAGCUUGUUUUACCACUGAAAUUUUGAAAUGGUCCGCUAUCUGUAUUAAAUCAUCUUUUCUACAGCGGUCGAAUUGUUCUACGGUUGGAUUAUUAAUAAAUGUCUGUAAAUCAAACAAUGCCAUCCUGUUUAUUUACUUAUACCAGAAACAAC
This is a non-coding RNA of Danio rerio (zebrafish), 1733 nucleotides long. Lineage: Eukaryota; Metazoa; Chordata; Actinopteri; Cypriniformes; Danionidae. The record is from RefSeq and is a predicted model, not a curated record.